AGGUGGGAGGAUUGCUUGAACCCAGAAGAUGGAGGUUGCAGUGAGCUGAGAUCACACCACUGCACUCCAGCCUGGGCAACAGAGUGAGACUCUGUCUC
This is a microRNA precursor of Mandrillus leucophaeus (drill), 98 nucleotides long. NCBI's taxonomy places the organism in Eukaryota, Metazoa, Chordata, Mammalia, Primates, Cercopithecidae. The record is from Ensembl.